RNAcentral lists this ribosomal RNA (629 nucleotides) under uncultured bacterium. RNAcentral's name for it is "bacterial SSU rRNA". It matches the Rfam family "Bacterial small subunit ribosomal RNA", at positions 56 to 681 of the family's 1533-position model. The record is from RNAcentral.
UGCAGUCGAACGGUAGCAGGAAGUGCUUGCACUUUGCUGACGAGUGGCGGACGGGUGAGUAAUACUUAGGAACAUGCCUUUGUGUGGGGGAUAACCAUUGGAAACGAUGGCUAAUACCGCAUAAUGUCUUUGGACCAAAGAGGGCUUUCGGGCUCUCGCGCAAAGAGUGGCCUAAGUGAGAUUAGCUUGUUGGUGAGGUAAAGGCUCACCAAGGCGACGAUCUCUAGCUGUUCUGAGAGGAAGAUCAGCCACACUGGGACUGAGACACGGCCCAGACUCCUACGGGAGGCAGCAGUGGGGAAUAUUGCACAAUGGGGGCAACCCUGAUGCAGCCAUGCCGCGUGUGUGAAGAAGGCCUUCGGGUUGUAAAGCACUUUCAGUUGUGAGGAAAGGUUGGUGGUUAAUACCCAUCAGCUGUGACGUUAGCAACAGAAGAAGCACCGGCUAACUCCGUGCCAGCAGCCGCGGUAAUACGGAGGGUGCGAGCGUUAAUCGGAAUUACUGGGCGUAAAGCGCACGCAGGCGGUUAUAUAAGCUAGAUGUGAAAGCCCCGGGCUCAACCUGGGAAUAGCAUUUAGAACUGUAUGACUAGAGUCUUGGAGAGGGGAGUGGAAUUCCAGGUGUAGCGG